Molecule: non-coding RNA, 119 nt
Organism: Pteropus alecto (black flying fox)
Lineage: Eukaryota; Metazoa; Chordata; Mammalia; Chiroptera; Pteropodidae
Source: Rfam
GUCUAUGGCCCUGCCACCGUGAACACGUCUGAUCUCAUCUGAUCUCGGAAGCUAAGCAGGGUCGGGCCUGGUUGGUACUUGGAUGGGAGACCACCUAGGAAGACCGGGUGCUGUAGGCA